AACAAUAACCCAGCUUUAAACAAAAAAAUAAACAAGGUUAACACACAUAGUGAUAAUAUAACAACUUAUGAUAAUAAUAAGAUAUAUAUAAAUAAUCUUGAAAAUGAUGAAUAUAUAAAAAGUGGAUUCCAUACCAUUUGUGAUUUAAAAAACGAAAAGGAUAUAGAACAAAACCAAAUUGUUAAAGCGGUUAAUCAUACAAAUAGUGAUAUUUCUAUAAACACUGCUACAGAUACUAUUAUCAAUAUAUGUAACAAUACUAAGGGUCCUAGUAAUAACGAACAGUCACAAAGCAAUCUCAGUGAUGAUACUAAAAAAAAUAGUUUUUAUACUGAUAAGAAUAAAGAAACAAUUAGUCAUUUUCAAUUAACAAAAUAUGUACAUAAUAAAAAAAAUUAUUUAAAUAAACAUAUAAACAGUAGUUCUUACCAUGAAUAUAACAAUUCCCCUAUAAAUACCCCAAACAACACACAGAUAGAGAAUGACAGUUAUGUAGGUAAUGACAUAGGCUAUAACCGAAAUAAUCAAAACAAUUACGACAAUCACUUUAUGAAUCAAAAUUAUGAUUUUAUUACACCAUAUCAUAAUAAAAAAAUAUAUUAUAAAUCAUAUUUAUCACAAAAAAAUUUAUAUGCACAACAAUCUGUUAAAGCGUUCAAUAAACAUAGAUAUUACGAAAAUUAUAAAUUCAAUCACUUUUAUAACGGUAAUUAUAUAAAUGCAUAUUACAGUAAUAUUACUGACGCCAAUACUUCUAUUAGUAUUAACAACAACAGCAACAAUAACAACAAUAACAACAACAAUAGCUAUAAUUUCCCCUUACCGUAUUAUAAUUACAGUUACAAUGAGUUUGUAUAUUAUUAUUACUAUUUACAGAAUUAUUUUUACAACAGUUUUCAAUUUUUACAUAAUUCAGCUUCUCAUGCUACACAACAUAUGAAUGCAACAAGAACAGGUACAGGUACAGGAACAGGAACAGGUACAGGAACAGGAACAGGUACAGGUACAGGAACAGGAAUAGGUACAGGAACAGGAAUAGGGACAGGUACAGGAACAGGUACAGGAACAGGAAUAGGAACAGGAUUAGGAACAGGAACAGAAACAGGAACAGGAAUAGGAACAGGAACAGGAACAGGAACAGGAAUAGGAACAGGAACAGGAACAGGAACCGGAACAGGAACCGGAACAGGAACAGGAACAGGAAUAGGAACAUCAGCUUCACUAGCAUUACCUAACCAUCCUUGUUACGCAGAAAAAAACGAAAAAGAUUUUUUAUACCCGCAUAAUAUGUAUACUGUUGAAAUGAUGAAAAAUAACAAUAAUGAAAUGUACAUAACUGAUAAUACUAACAUAGACAACACUACUUUAAUAGCACAUGACAUCAUAAACAAAAACGAUAGUGGUACUAACAUUUGUAAUUCUAACCAAGUAAAUACCUAUAAUCAUAAUGACAUACAUACAGGUGAUGAACUGGUAGAAUGGUAUGAUAACAAUCAGUUACCUAUUCCAUAUAUGCAUCCAAAAAAUUAUUAUCAAAAUUCACAGAUAUAUAAUACAUAUGGUAAUUCCAAUUUUAGGUUGAAUAAUGAACUAUCUGAUGGAAUUCGUAUUCCUGGCAAUGUCAACACUAACAAUGGUAGUAAUAGCAACGGCAGUGGCAACUGUAAUGAUUACACAAACAAUAACAAUAAUGAUAAAUGUAUUAUCUCGAUUCAAAAUAACAUACAAAUAAAUAAUA
Long non-coding RNA from Piliocolobus tephrosceles (Ugandan red Colobus), 1738 nucleotides. The record is from Ensembl. NCBI's taxonomy places the organism in Eukaryota, Metazoa, Chordata, Mammalia, Primates, Cercopithecidae.